ACACUCUGGUUUCUCUUCAGAUUGUAUAAAUCUUUUGCCUUUUACUAAAGAUUUCUGUGGAGAGGAACAAUUCUGAGUCUUUUUUUUUUUUUUGUAGAGACAAGAGUCUCAC
Molecule: small nuclear RNA, 112 nt
Filed under: Otolemur garnettii (small-eared galago)
Lineage: Eukaryota; Metazoa; Chordata; Mammalia; Primates; Galagidae
Description: U5 spliceosomal RNA (ENSOGAG00000022373.1)
Rfam family: U5 spliceosomal RNA
About the family: U5 RNA is a component of both types of known spliceosome.
Source: RNAcentral